Haliotis rubra (blacklip abalone) is the source of this 1071-nucleotide long non-coding RNA. RefSeq lists it as uncharacterized. The transcript is spliced from 2 exons. The record is from RefSeq and is a predicted model, not a curated record. NCBI's taxonomy places the organism in Eukaryota, Metazoa, Mollusca, Gastropoda, Lepetellida, Haliotidae.
UAGGUAAACCUCAUCCAAUUAUACCUUGUGCAAAGCGUCAAAUGUUAUAAAUAUAUAAAAACUUCUGUUAUCAAACAUGAGGAAAACGUUUGAAUAUGUGAACGAGACAAUAAACAUACUUCAGGCGAAUGCAUCAGAGUGGUUUUAAAUGUCUUAAUGCCUGCCUCUUUAGAAUACAGGUAAAUACAGGGUCCCAGCAAUAAUUUCGAAAUGUACGCCAUCGAGCAUAGGGCACGUGCAUUAGCAGAUAUAUAGGCUUGCUAGAUCGCCAGUAUACAUGCUUGAUGUGCAGAGAGACAGUAUUGUCGUAAAAAUCUAUGGUUUGUCCAGUAGGUGAUGAGUAUUAGGUGGCAUGUUCUGGAUAUUCGUCAUUUCAGGCGAAAUAUCUAUAUCAGUUAAGGAAAAUGACGACAACGCUUGGUAUAAAAUGAUCCACUUGAUGCCCAAAUUAAAUGCAUGAAUUUAUCUUAUGUUCCCACGCAAUAUUUAGCUUCUCAGUGCGUCUCAAUGCGUGGCUUUUUAUCAUAAAAUUAGAAACAGAUAUAUUUUGUAUUUGGAAAGGGUUGGGUAAUUUUGUUCUACUCUUUUGAACAUUAACAAAACCUAUUUCGCGAUGUUCAUUUCAUGAUGACAUGAUACUAAAUAGUAGAAACAAUGUUGUUGAUAAUUCAGCGUUUUAUUUAUAACAACCAUGAGGUGACAAUUAAACUAUUUACAAAUACAAAAUAAAGUUAUGUAGUUAAACUUUAGGAAAAAUAUGCUAUAAUAUACAAAAAUAGUUUCAGACCAUAUGUAUAAUUCAUUAGUAAUGUAUGCAAUUGCUAGCGGCUCAUUCAUUGAUUCAUCCGCUCAUUCAUUAAUGCAUUAAUUCAUUCAAAAUAACUAAUCAUCACUGUUAUAAAAUAAAAUAUUAAAUUAAUUGUACAGUAUAUUUAGUGGAAAGUAAAGUACAAACAUUUCUCUCCAUUUUAGAAAAAAAGCAAAACAAGACUGCAUGUUUCGAAAAGGAGAUACAUUUAUCAGUUAUAACUUUCCUCAGAACAGACGUAGGUCGUACGUAGAAGCAGCUGA